Molecule: ribosomal RNA, 182 nt
Filed under: uncultured bacterium
Lineage: Bacteria
Description: partial 16S ribosomal RNA
Rfam family: Bacterial small subunit ribosomal RNA
Source: RNAcentral
GCAUGAAGUCGGAAUUGCUAGUAAUCGCGGAUCAGCAUGCCGCGGUGAAUACGUUCCCGGGCCUUGUACACACCGCCCGUCACACCAUGGGAGCCGGUAAUACCCGAAGUCAGUAGUCCAACCUCGUGAGGACGCUGCCGAAGGUAGGAUUGGCGACUGGGGUGAAGUCGUAACAAGGUAGC